CGUCGUCUCGCGGCGCUGGUGGUGUCCGAGAAGAAGAGCAGGAAGCUGCCCUUCACCCCCAGCAAGGACCCCGUCCGGCGCCUCACACAGAUGGCCUUGCUCGCCACGGCGCUCACGGCCACCAGCGCCGUCUUCAGCAACGACCUCACCUACGUGCCCGGCAUGGCGCCUCGGUCCGCCAACCAAUCCGCCCUCGUGGCAGGAGGGAUGCAGGUGCUGCCAAGGGAGGAUGCAGAGACAUUGAGCCUAUGCAAGAGGAUGAUGGAGCAAGGGCCUCUCCUCGUCGUCUUCAAUCCGGUGGAAGGAUUCAUGGUCGAGGCAGACAGGCACAUCAAGGAUCUGACCAUCAUCACCGAGUACGUCGGCGAGGUUGACUACCUUCGAAACUGUGAGCACGACGACGGCGACAGCAUGAUGACUCUGCUCUCCGCCGAGCCGCCAUCCAAGAGCCUCGUCAUCUGCCUCGACAAGCGGAGCAACAUUGCACGGUUCAUCAACGGGAUAAACAACCACACGCCGGAAGGCAGGAAGAAGCAGAACCUCAAGUGCGUGCGGUUCGCAAUCGACGGUGAAUCCAUUCUCCUGGUGGCCAACAGGGACAUCUCCAAGGGGGAGAGGUUGUACUACGACUACAACAGUGACGAGCACAAGUACCCAACUUACCAUUUUGUAUGA
RNAcentral lists this ribosomal RNA (675 nucleotides) under Triticum aestivum (bread wheat). RNAcentral describes it as "partial small subunit ribosomal RNA". The record is from RNAcentral. Lineage: Eukaryota; Viridiplantae; Streptophyta; Magnoliopsida; Poales; Poaceae.